GCCUGCGUACAUCUUCACUGGAAAGCAUGAUUUCCCUUCCGUCAAUCAUCGUUAAGCCGGUGAGAGCCUUCACAAGUACUACGGUGAGAGACCACGUGGGAACAUGAGGUGCUGCAGUCU
This 120-nucleotide ribosomal RNA is filed under the name Nadsonia fulvescens var. elongata DSM 6958. The record is from RNAcentral. Lineage: Eukaryota; Fungi; Ascomycota; Dipodascomycetes; Dipodascales.